UAGCAAUACCUUAGUAAAGCGGCGCACGGGUGAGUAACACGUGGAUAACCUGCCUCGAAGUGGGGAAUAACCCCGGGAAACCGGAGCUAAUACCGCAUAACCUGACAAUUUCUGUGGAUUUUGUCAGUAAAGGAGCAAUUCGCUUUGAGAGGGGUCCGCGGCUGAUUAGCUAGUUGGUGAGGUAAUGGCUCACCAAGGCCACGAUCAGUAGCCGGUCUGAGAGGACGGUCGGCCACACUGGAACUGAGACACGGUCCAGACUCCUACGGGAGGCAGCAGUGGGGAAUUUUUCGCAAUGGGGGCAACCCUGACGAAGCAACGCCGCGUGGGUGAUGAAGUAUUUCGGUACGUAAAACCCUUUCGACGGGGACGAAACCGCAAGGUUGACGGUACCCGUAGAAGAAGCCCCGGCUAACUCCGUGCCAGCAGCCGCGGUAAUACGGGGGGGGCAAGCGUUGUUCGGAAUUACUGGGCGUAAAGGGCGCGUAGGCGGCUCGCUAAGUUGGAUGUGAAAACUCUGGGCUUAACCCAGAGCCUGCAUCCAAAACUGGCAAGCUUGAGUACUGGAGGGGAAAGCGGAAUUCCUGGUGUAGCGGUGAAAUGCGUAGAUAUCAGGAGGAACACCGGUGGCGAAGGCGGCUUUCUGGACAGUAACUGACGCUGAGGCGCGAAAGCUAGGGGAGCAAACAGGAUUAGAUACCCUGGUAGUCCUAGCCCUAAACGAUGGAUACUUGGUGUGAGGGGGGAUUGAAUCCCUUCGUGCCGUAGCUAACGCAAUAAGUAUCCCGCCUGGGGAGUACGGUCGCAAGGCUG
RNAcentral lists this ribosomal RNA (813 nucleotides) under uncultured Bacillota bacterium. RNAcentral describes it as "bacterial SSU rRNA". It matches the Rfam family "Bacterial small subunit ribosomal RNA", at positions 77 to 896 of the family's 1533-position model. The record is from RNAcentral. Lineage: Bacteria; Bacillati; Bacillota.